Molecule: long non-coding RNA, 3226 nt
Filed under: Triticum aestivum (bread wheat)
Lineage: Eukaryota; Viridiplantae; Streptophyta; Magnoliopsida; Poales; Poaceae
Description: long non-coding RNA (TAES_LNC012350)
Source: RNAcentral
UCCAUUUCAUGGCAAGAAGAAUUUUCAAUUAUGUUCUCAAUUCAAAAUUUGGAUGCAGUUUAGUUAGUACAAGGAAGCAUGUGCACUGUUACCACUCCUGAUUAGAUUAACUGCUUUUCUCUCGCAACAUGUAUAGACGAACUCCAUUGCCUCUUAUAUGGCGAUUCAGUGGGAACUGCUUCCAGCGCUGCGUCAGGAUAGCACACAUUCAGUUGCUGCCGUCAGGAUUGCUACCAAAGAAUUUAUCAGCACUGCAGUGUGCUCAAGGAUUCGUGAUGCAGUGCUGCAUUUUGCCAUCAACCACAAGCCACCUGGAGAGACUCUGUCACAUGAACACCUUCAGAGAUGCUCCCAUCUUGUGCUCCAGAUUUUCAACAAUGGCUCCACCUCUCUGUACUCUGAAUUCAUGGGCAUGCUCCUAGCUGCAAAGCAAGAGCAGUCAAAAACGACUGUCCAUAAAUCAACCACGCCUGCAGCAACACUUGUUGUCCACUUGUCCCUCUCAUGACUUCUGAAGGUUAUAUCACUGCAAAAACUGCAAAAACUCUAUAUGUGAUGGACCCCAUGCUGGCAUACUCACCAAGGAGUACAAUAUAGAAGAAACACAAAGACACAAGCCUGUGCAUUCUAUACGCCCUCUUUCAGUGCCUUCAUGAGUAUUAUACAGAUUGGCAUUUUGCUACUUUCCCCAUGGACUUACAAGUAUAACAAUGCCUGGCAUCAAAACUGCACAAUGUAAGUUUGGCCAAAACAGAACUUAUGAACCUCAAAUUUGUAUACAUUUAUCUGUGUGCAAAAAACUAUGAUUUAGUACCUACUAAAAAAAAAUUCAGUUCCGAGAGCGGUUUCUAUGUACUACACUACAUCAGAGAGUUCGAUGGUCUGAAGCUGAUAACACUGCCAACCCCAGUAAGUUGUCAAACCUCUUCAUUACUGUUGAGAUCGCAAACAUGCAGUUACUAACAGACAUGCUCCCUGCAGGGCUUGAUUUCAUACCUAAGGAUGCAGAUGGCGUACGAGAUUCUCAGGAUAAAGGCAACAAGGCCGACUUCCCAAACUACAUGUAUGAUUGCGGCACUUGUAGAAGCAGUCGCCGGCGAACUGGCCGCGCAGUCCGGGCAGUGGACUAAAGUCUAAAGGCAGGGCCACCGGAUCUGCAUCUUGGUUGGUGUUCACCAUGAACUGCAACUAGAGUUCCUCGCUCGAUUUGGGGGGAGUAGAGUAAACAAGCCUGUGCGGGAUAGCUAAAUAAUAACUGUUCUUCGUGGACCCCACGUACACCGUUUCCUACCAUCAAACGUGGCUGCCGCUCGUAAACGGCGCCGUCACAACCCAAACGGCCGUCCAGUGAGGACCUCGGUAUAUACACCCCUAUUUUAUAGGCUGUACUAGUACUGCGUACAGCUACUCUAGCACGUACGGCCCACAUCCCCGUAAAUAUUGAGCGAUUCGUGAUACCAGGAGCGUGCGCGCUCGUCCGCGCCCAGCAAUAUUCGAGCUGAUUAUCCAGUACUUCAGAGUAACCCUCAAAAGAAAAGCAUCUACUGCUACACAGCAAAGUAGUAGUAGUAGUAAGUACUCUCUUCUCGGAAACUGAUCAUCUAACAAUCUAGCACCAUUAAAUGUAAUUACAUAGUUAUUUUCCGCGGGUUUACUAUUGUAAUCUAUAGUGAUUUUCACUGUAAUUAGCCUGGUUUAGUUAUGUAAUCUUCUUGUUAGUAUUUUGUUUUCUUGAUGAAUGUGGUAAUGUGAUUUCUUCAUUAAGGAAUUCUUCGUCAUUCUGAGUUGCAUGCUCAUCUCAACUUACAAAGGCAGGCAACAUAUAACCCUGCUCCUCCAGCAGCAAGAAAGAAAGUAGGUUUCUAGCGAGCUAUUUUCAUGUUAGUUGUGUUUCCUUUUUGUUUUUUAAGUUGUCUGCCAUUGUAAUUUAUGUUGCUUGCCAGUGUAUUCCAUUUCCAUUUACUGUAGGCCUCCCUUUGUAAUUUUAGUUGAUCGCCUCCAUAAUCUAUGUUGCUUGUGAGUGUAUCUUUUCUCUUACUGUUUUCUACUCAGUGAUAGUACCGUAAGCAGUUUAGUGUGUUCUUUUUGUCUACUAAAAUGCAACUUGAUUCUAGAACAAUAGGAACUACCCACGAAAGUAAUUUCAUUUGUAAAAUGUAAUAAGCCAGAAUGCAGUAAAGCGUCGACUAUGCAUGCCUGAAUUUUUUUACAAGGACUUUUUGUAGUAAUUGUCUUACAUAACUACAGUAUUUUUUUCAACCAUAGUUCUUGAUGUCUUUUCCAGUCUAGUCUUUCGAUGUAGUUUUGUACUGUUUAUUUUGGGCAUUCGUGCAGUGCCUAUGUUUCUGAAUUACAUUGUAAUCUAGCUUGUAAUUAACAAGUCAGGAUGCCGUAGAUAUUAUAGUCACAGUAAUUGCAAAGAGAAGCUCACAGUAAGUUGAUCGACAAGUCACAGUAAUUUGAGCUCUUGUAUAGUGCCAAAGUUUCUGAAAUUCUAUCUUUUGUUCCACGAAUUUUUGUUUGAUCAUUUCCCAAUUGAUUUAUAUGAACGUCAUUCCCCCCUUAGUUUCUUGAGCCUACACUGUGUUGCUUGGUUCUUCUAUCUUUUCUGUCGCAUCUAAGAAGAUUUCCACAGUUCGAAUGCCAAUUAGUAUCAGUGCAUAGCCUGAAUUUUUCAGUCUAUUUUCUGAACAUUAGUUUCAGUGUGAACUUCAUUGUAAUUUGAAUUAAACUUCACAGUAAUUCAAACUUCAAGUCACAGGAAUUUGUAACAGUGCCAAAGUUUCUAGAAUACAGUUUGUUGUUCCUAGACUUUUUGUUUGACCAUUUUUACAGUUGUUCCACAACUUCCUGAUCAUGUUUCCCCCCAAACUUUCUUGAGCAUGUGUUGUGAGUGAAUUCAGAAACUUGCAACUAGAUUUUAUUCCUGUGACCAUAGAUUUAUUGUUCCUAGACUUCCAGCCUCGUUUCCUGCAACUAGAAUACAGAGGUCUUUGUUUCUUGCUCGAAGUCCCAGAUAAGCACAAACUAGUAAUUUCGCAGAAAGGAAUAGCACACAGCAGUAAACAUGAAGUGAUCUAUUCAAGACUCCAGAACAACUCACCGAGGGGGAGGAGUUGGGGCUGGGGCCGGGGCUGGGGUCAGGCUGGCUGCGUGCUAUCAGCGGAGCUUCGGGGUCAUCCUCGUUGACGCCGCUCGUCUCCUUGAGGAACCAACUGGCGAGCCG